GAGGGUGUAGCUCAGUGGUAAAGCACAUGUACAAGGUCCUGGGUUCAAUCCCCAGUACCUCCA
RNAcentral lists this transfer RNA (63 nucleotides) under Camelus bactrianus (Bactrian camel). It matches the Rfam family "tRNA". From Rfam's summary of the family: Transfer RNA (tRNA) molecules are approximately 80 nucleotides in length. Their secondary structure includes four short double-helical elements and three loops (D, anti-codon, and T loops). RNAcentral also lists the same sequence under 2 other names. Lineage: Eukaryota; Metazoa; Chordata; Mammalia; Artiodactyla; Camelidae. The record is from Rfam by way of RNAcentral.